This is a long non-coding RNA of Epinephelus moara (kelp grouper), 830 nucleotides long. RefSeq lists it as uncharacterized. The transcript is spliced from 3 exons. NCBI's taxonomy places the organism in Eukaryota, Metazoa, Chordata, Actinopteri, Perciformes, Serranidae. The record is from RefSeq and is a predicted model, not a curated record.
AGUUUAAGCCCACUGCACACUUCCACUGUCCCUCCUGCAAACGAUUAUUAGAAAGAAGAGACCGGUUUGUAGACCAUUUGGGACAGUGCGUCCAACAAGCUGUUGAAGAGGAGCAGGAGCAGCAGGAGGCCAAAGAGGAGUAGGGGGAGGAGGAGCAGCAGCAUCAGCAGGAGGCCAAAGGGGAGCAGCAUCAGCAGGAGGCCAAAGGGGAGCAGCUUGAUGAAGUGGUCUCUUUUCUAUUUGGAAUCCUUAAGGACACACCAGGAGCAAGACAACUUCUAGAUCACGUUGCCUUUGUCUUUGACGUGCUUUUGCCUGAGACAGUUAUCUACAGCCUGGUGGAGGUGCACUCCCUGUCAGUACAAAAAGCCACUGAGAUGUAUAAACAGGGCCCACAAUAUGAACCAUGUGAGUGGGACCUGUUUCAAAUCUGCCUCCAGAGAAAUCUGAGCGCGGAGGCCACCAAAAGGCUUCAGGAGUUUAAACAAAAAAUGAGAAAAGCCCUCCAAUCAGAAACAUUUAUAAAUCUAUUGUAAAUGUAUGAAAAAAAUAGGUGCCUGUUAAGGAUAUACAAUAAUGAUGAGCAGUUUUGGUCUCAAAUAGUUUUAUUUUUCUUCUGCAGAGGGAUCAGUUCUUACACAGCAUGUAGAUUUUUGUAAGAAAUGACACAUCUGACUGAGUGAGUGAGGGUUUUAUAGUAUAGACCAAACAAUUGGUUCUCCUGGAAAUUAAUACCAAAACAUGGUCAUGCAUAGGGAGCUUGUUUAUACCUCUGUUCUCAGAUUUAUUUAUUUUUUUUACCACUGAGCAUGUAUGCUUCAGUAACUUUA